UACGGAGGAUCCGAGCGUUAUCCGGAAUCAUUGGGUUUAAAGGGUCCGUAGGCGGGCCGUUAAGUCAGGGGUGAAAGUCUGCGGCUCAACCGUAGGACUGCCCUUGAUACUGGCGGCCUUGAGUUAUGGUGAAGCAGCCAGAAUAUGUGGUGUAGCGGUGAAAUGCAUAGAUAUCACAUGGAAUACCGAUUGCGAAGGCAGGCUGCUAACCAUAUACUGACGCUGAUGGACGAAAGCGUGGGUAGCGAACAGGAUUAGAUACCCUGGUAGUCCACGCCGUAAACGAUGGAUACUAGCUGUCCGGCGGCAACGCUGGGCGGCCCAGCGAAAGUGAUAAGUAUCCCACCUGGGGAGUACGUCCGCAAGGAUGAA
This 372-nucleotide ribosomal RNA is filed under the name uncultured bacterium. RNAcentral's name for it is "bacterial SSU rRNA". It matches the Rfam family "Bacterial small subunit ribosomal RNA", at positions 524 to 898 of the family's 1533-position model. The record is from RNAcentral.